GAGAGAUGGUCGAGCGGUUGAAGGCACCGGUCUUGAAAACCGGCGUAGGGCAACCUACCGUGGGUUCGAAUCCCACUCUCUCC
RNAcentral lists this transfer RNA (83 nucleotides) under human gut metagenome. It matches the Rfam family "tRNA". Rfam says of the family: Transfer RNA (tRNA) molecules are approximately 80 nucleotides in length. Their secondary structure includes four short double-helical elements and three loops (D, anti-codon, and T loops). The record is from RNAcentral. RNAcentral also lists the same sequence under 1 other name.